Molecule: unclassified non-coding RNA, 355 nt
Filed under: Hevea brasiliensis (rubber tree)
Lineage: Eukaryota; Viridiplantae; Streptophyta; Magnoliopsida; Malpighiales; Euphorbiaceae
Source: RNAcentral
AUCAAAUGUAAAAACCUUUUCUUAUAUUUUGAUUGGUUAGCUUUUGUACAUGUAAACACACAGAGAACACUGCACUAACAGAGCUGGAAUUCAAGGGAGAAUAGCACAAGGCAGCAUAAAUCCCAGGAUCAAUGCCACCGGUGCGGCAGCAUCAGUCGCUUGCUUGAGCAAGCUGGGGAACGUAAUGGCCUGCGUAGCUUUCUCCAGUUACAAAAAAUUCCCUGGUCUUGUACUCGGGAAAUCUGUCUAACCAGUUAACUAGAAAUGAAAAGGACUCUCGGGCGGUUGUACUAUCUUCACUUGAAUCGUAGACAGAUGUUGUGUUUGAAUGAGAAAAUCCAACACCAGCAGGGGA